This 460-nucleotide ribosomal RNA is filed under the name uncultured bacterium. Its description in RNAcentral is "partial 16S ribosomal RNA". It matches the Rfam family "Bacterial small subunit ribosomal RNA", at positions 338 to 795 of the family's 1533-position model. The record is from RNAcentral.
CCUACGGGAGGCAGCAGUGAGGAAUAUUGGUCAAUGGACGAGACUCUGAACCAGCCAAGUAGCGUGAAUGAUGACUGCCCUAUGGGUUUUAAGCUUCUUUUAUAUGGGAAUAAAAUGUUCCGCGUGUGGGAUUUUGUAUGUACCAUAUGAAUAAGGAUCGGCUAACUCCGUGCCAGCAGCCGCGGUAAUACGUAGGAUCCGAGCGUUGUCCGGAUUUGUUGGGGUUAAGGGGAGCGUAGGUGGAUUGUUAAGUAAGUUGUGAACGUUUGCGGCUCAACCGUAUAAUUGCAGUUGAAACUGGCAGUCUUGAGUACAGUAGAGGUGAGCGGAAUUCGUGGUGUAGCGGUGGAAUGCUUAGAUAUCACGAAGAACUCCGAUUGCGAAGGCAGCUAACUGGACUGCAACUGACACUGAGGCUCGAAAGUGUGGGAAUCAAACAGGAUUAGAUACCCGAGUAGUC